Molecule: transfer RNA, 68 nt
Filed under: Dolichovespula panda
Lineage: Eukaryota; Metazoa; Arthropoda; Insecta; Hymenoptera; Vespidae
Description: tRNA-Pro
Source: RNAcentral
CAAAAAAUAGUUUAAAAAAAAUAUUAAUUUUGGAGAUUAAAGAUAUAGUAGAUAAAUUAUUUUUUUGA